GUCUAUGGCCAUGCUAUCCUGAACAAGCCCCAUCCUGCCUGAUCUAGGAAGCUAAGCAGAGUUGGGCCUGGUUGUAUUUGAAUGGGAGACCACCUAGGAAGACCAGGUGCUGUAGGCA
RNAcentral lists this ribosomal RNA (118 nucleotides) under Pteropus alecto (black flying fox). Lineage: Eukaryota; Metazoa; Chordata; Mammalia; Chiroptera; Pteropodidae. The record is from RNAcentral.